UAGGGAAUCUUCCACAAUGGACGCAAGUCUGAUGGAGCAACGCCGCGUGAGUGAAGAAGGUUUUCGGAUCGUAAAGCUCUGUUGUUGGUGAAGAAGGAUAGAGGCAGUAACUGGUCUUUAUUUGACGGUAAUCAACCAGAAAGUCACGGCUAACUACGUGCCAGCAGCCGCGGUAAUACGUAGGUGGCAAGCGUUGUCCGGAUUUAUUGGGCGUAAAGCGAGCGCAGGCGGAAUGAUAAGUCUGAUGUGAAAGCCCACGGCUCAACCGUGGAACUGCAUCGGAAACUGUCAUUCUUGAGUUCAGAAGAUGAUAGUGGAAUUCCAUGUGUAGCGGUGGAAUGCGUAGAUAUAUGGGAGAACACCAGUGGCGAAGGCGGCUCUCUGGUCUGCAACUGACGCUGAGGCUCGAAAGCAUGGGUAGCGAACAGG
RNAcentral lists this ribosomal RNA (429 nucleotides) under bacterium. Its description in RNAcentral is "partial 16S ribosomal RNA". It matches the Rfam family "Bacterial small subunit ribosomal RNA", at positions 355 to 776 of the family's 1533-position model. The record is from RNAcentral.